RNAcentral lists this long non-coding RNA (7977 nucleotides) under Brassica napus (rape). RNAcentral's name for it is "long non-coding RNA (BNAP_LNC025429)". The record is from RNAcentral. Lineage: Eukaryota; Viridiplantae; Streptophyta; Magnoliopsida; Brassicales; Brassicaceae.
CACGCGCCUCCCGAAGAUUCGCCUCGGCGCGCGCGUGAAACUCACGCGCCACCGCCGUCCGCCGGAGCCACCGCGAGUUCCGGCCACGCGCCGCCGUCUCCGACCAACGUUCGCCGGAGCCGCCGUGACCGACCACCGUCCGUCCACCGCCGGGUCGCCGCCGUCGCUGCCGUUGAUUUUCCGGUAAGCCGCCGCCGUCGCCGCCGGCGACCGACACCGGUGACUCGCCGGUGACUCGCCAACUCGGCCGAGUCAACCCGGUGAGUCAACUCGGUGACUCGGUCAACCGGUGGUUUGACCGGUUUAAAUCGAUUUCGAUUCGGUUUGAUUAAACCGGUCGGUUAAAAUCAAUUGGAAAUCGGUUAGGGAAAACCGGAUUAAUUAAUUAAUUAAUUAAUUAAUUAAUUAAUUAAUUAAUUAAAUUAUUAAUCUUUGACCAGCAGGUUGACUUUCCCGUAAAUACCCGUUUUAAACCGUUCGAAAGGCGUUCUGACUCGAAAUUUCGAUCUGAUUUCAGAUUUGGAGUCCAUUUGAGCAGCUGGAGUUCAUAGAUACCACCUCUUAUUGUUGCUAAGGUGAGGGUCUAUUCCCGAACUCCUCUUAUUCGGCUUAGGACCUCGAAUAAGUAUAAUUUAUUUUUAAUGUGUUCCGUCUGUGUGAAAUCGAGUCUGUCAUUGCUUGUUUAGUUUUAGGUUCUUUGCAUAAACCGGAACUAGGGGGUUAGAGGAUUCAACAUUGAUUGUUUCACUUAAUGUAAAUUCUUAGCUAGGAUUGUUUUUGUUUGGAGACGGAUACAGAGUCGGACUGCUGUAUGCCGGAUUGUAUGGAGGUCACGGCCAACUUUAGUCGACCGGUUGAGCCGUAGACUGGAAGUGUCGAUAAAUCGUCUACGGGCGUGUGUUACCGAGCACUUUUUCGGUGUGUGUAUGAACCGAGCACCUUUUCGGUAGUGUUUUGGCCUGUUAGUGGGCGGCGAGUGCGCACCUCGCUAGGACCAUUGUUUGUUGCUUGAGUACUUUAGGUACUGUGUUUGACAUGCAUUAGAAUUAAAUUAUAUUUAUUCGGAGUGCUAUGUCCGGGUCCAUGGACUUCGGGGUAGCAUCCCAUACCUCGCUGAGCGAUUCCCCUGUCGCUCACCCCUCAUUCUUUCCCCCUUUUAGGUGAGACCGAUGAGCAGGAGUGAUUAUCGGACCGGUGCUAUUGGGCUUUUGGGCUUCUAUCGCUUUUACCGCUUUUAUCUUUAUCGGGCCUUUAGGCCUUUGGACUUUUAUCGUCUAUGUUAUUCCUAUUUCAGACUUUCGGUUUAUAUCGUAUUUUAUAUUUCGGAUGUUAUCGAUGUUGGGCUUUUUGGCCUUUUGUUACCGUAUUGACUUUUAUAUUAUAUGAAGAUUAUUAUUAUUUGAGUUGUAUUAUUAUUUUAUUUUCGCUUUUAUCAAUUUAUUAUAUUUUGAAAGUGGCGGGUGUCACAAUUUGGUAUCAGAACGGGUUCCGUCCCGGCUCCGACCCGGGAUGGCGAUUUUUGGAGACCUGGUUUUAUUCGGUUUUGACGGUUUUACACGAUUUCAAAAUAUUUUCGGGGAUUUGGGAAUUUUGAAAAUAAAAAUAAAUAGCACCUUUUCGUUCGAUAUCACUGCUCCUUAAAAUGUUGGUAUCCAAAGUUCAGCGUAAGUUAACUUUUCGCUUUCCUUUUAGAUGCCGCCAAGGAGAAGAACCACCCGUGCCCAGACCGCCAGAGCCGUUAGAGACAAUGUAGAUGAGCAUGAGCAGCCCGCAGUUCCACCACCCGCGGCUCCACCAGUUGAUCAGGAUGCAUUGAGACAGAUGGUUCAGGAUGCCGCUAGACAGGCCGCUCAGGAAGCACUUCAGCAGAUUGCCCAGGAGGCAGCCAGGCAGGCCGCUCAGGAGGCCGCCCGAGUAGCUGCUCAGGAGGUUGCUCGUCAGAUGGCUGCCGUUCAGCCGGGAGCUUCAUGGUUCUCUAAGAUUGACUUGGCAUCGGGAUACCACCAGAUUGCGAUAUCUGAGGGAGAUGUGCGGAAGACGGCAUUCCGUACCCGUUAUGGACAUUACGAGUUUGUGGUGAGAUCAGCAGAUUCCAGCUCAGCAUGAUCAUCAGGAUCCCGUUCAGCAGGUUCCCCUUCCACAGGUUCCUCUGCAGCAGGGUCCAGUUCAGCAGUUUGCUCAUGGUGUUCAGGAUCUACCGCCACCACCACCGCGACCUCAUGUUUACCCGGUUUAUAAUGAGAGGUUCUACAGGCUAACAUGUCAGAUGAGAAACAUGGAGAUGGAGCAUUUUAGCGGGACAGUGGAUGCUGUAGCUGCACACGAUUGGAAGUUAGCCUUGCAGCGGAAGCUGGAGAUUAUUGAGUGUCCACCAGAGUUGUCGCUCAGAUUGACUAUGCAGUACCUUCGUGGAGAUGCUCUUAUAUGGUGGGAGGGAAUACGAUUGAGCCAUUUUGGGCCAGAGAGACUUACUUUCGCUGAUUUCAUUCGAGAGUUCGAUAGGAAAUACUUUCCGAAGGAAGCGAUGGAUAGGAAGAAGUGCGAGUUCGAGCAUGUAAGCCAGGGAGAGAUGUCUAUCAGGGAGUAUGAGGUUGUGUUCAACCAACUUCGCAGAUUUGCAGGAGUGGGCAUUUCAGAAGAAGACUUGAUUAGAAAGUUUUUGAGUGGGAUGCGAGUGGAGAUUCGUAACAGGUGUCGCGUAGUCACUUACCACCGGUUGGGAGAUUUGGUGGAGAAAGCUGCCGAGCAGGAGGCAGGCUUGGCGGAGGAGAAGGAACUCGCCAAAGCAGUUCAUGUUAAGUCUGGAAAAGCUCCAGAGUCUCAAAGGAGAGCAGGGGACCCGUCGGGAUUACCGAUAUGUCCUCGUUGCCAUCGCAGUCACAGUGGGCAGUGUAUGAGGUGUCUUACUUGCGGUAGGAUUGGACACAUUGCGAAGUUUUGUCGAGCUAGGCCAUUGGAUACGCCACCAGUCAGACAGAUUGCAGCACCAGCAGCACCAGCAGCUGCACAUGUUUGCUUUGGCUGUGGUCAGCCAGGUCACUUCAUCAGAGAUUGCCCGAGGAAGGACAAUGCGACACUUCCACCACCACCGAAGCGUCUAGCCAUCGCUCCACGUGUGUUUGCGGUUGGAGAUCCUCAGGGAGCUGAGCCGAUAGCAGGUAUGAGUCUUUUCCAUACUUGUUUGUGUUUGGGUAUUUUGGCUCGUGGUUGUCAUGUGUAGUUAGUAAAAAUCUCGUGUAGGAUCGGUUUUAGUUGGAGGAGAGUCAGCUUAUACCUUAUUCGACACGGGAGCCUCUCAUAGUUUUGUGAGUCCGCGCUUAGUCCAGUCUUGGUCUUUUCGUGGAGUCUUUGAACCGAAGGCUAAGCAGAUCCAGACUGCCGGCACGGAGAAGUUGGGUGCAGUUGGCAUUCAUCACGAUGUACCAGUUCUACUUGGAGGAGUCGAGUUGCUCGGAGAUUUGACGGAGAUGGAGAUGAGCUCCUACGAUGUUAUACUUGGGAUGGAUUGGCUGUCGCGACAUCGAGUAGUCUUGGAUUGUCCGAAGGCAAGAGUUAAUAUCCCUAGAGAAGAAGGAAAUAUCAUUUGCGAGGGAAUUCAGACACACCGGGAAAUUUCUAUCGUCUCCAUGUUGCGUGCAGAAGAGUUAUUGGAAAGUGGAGCAGAGGGAUUCUUGGCAACCAUUUCGAUGGUUAAGGAGGACGGUCAACAGAAGCUGCAUGAUAUACCAGUGGUCGCCGAGUACGAGGAUGUUUUUGAGCCUUUAAAAGGGCCACCACCAGCUAGAGCGGACGUUCUUACAAUAGAAGUAGAGCCAGGAGCAGCACCAAUUUCACGAGCUCCAUACCGUCUCGCACCAACUGAGAUGGCAGAGUUAAAGAAACAAUUGGAGGAGCUAUCUGAUAAGGGGUUUAUCAGGCCGAGUACGUCACCGUGGGGAGCACCAGUGUUGUUUGUGAAGAAGAAAGAUGGGAGUUUCAGACUUUGUAUAGAUUACAGAGGUUUGAACAAAGUGACCAUCAAGAAUAAGUACCCGCUCCCGCGUAUCGACGAGUUGUUGGACCAGUUGCAGGGAGCUUCAUGGUUCUCUAAGAUUGACUUGGCAUCGGGAUACCACCAGAUUGCGAUAGCUGAGGGAGAUGUGCGGAAGACGGCAUUCCGUACCCGUUAUGGACAUUACGAAUUUGUGGUGAUGCCAUUUGGGUUGACAAACGCACCAGCCGCGUUCAUGAAGCUUAUGAAUGAUGUAUUCUGUGAGCACUUAGAUAAGUGUGUGAUCGUUUUCAUAGAUGACAUCUUGGUUUAUUCUCGGAGUAGAGAGGAGCAUGCUGAACAUUUGCGAAUUGUGUUGGGUAAGCUUCGGGAACAUCAGUUAUUUGCCAAGCUGAGUAAGUGUAGCUUUUGGCAGAAGAAGAUUGGAUUUUUGGGUCACGUGGUUUCAGAAGCAGGAGUUGCCGUAGAUCAGGAGAAGAUUAGCGCCAUUUCAGAGUGGCCGACACCUAAGAAUGCGACGGAGAUCCGCAGUUUUCUCGGUUUGGCAGGAUACUACAGAAAGUAUGUCAAAAAUUUUGCUAGCAUUGCAAAGCCAAUGACACGGCUAACAGGAAAAGACACCGAGUUUGAUUGGACAGAGGAAUGUUCGGGGAGUUUCACUGAGUUGAAGCGACAGCUGACCCAUGCGCCAGUUUUGGUACUCCCGAGGCCAGGGGUACCAUAUGAUGUUUACACUGAUGCGUCAGGCACCGGAUUGGGAUGUGUACUGAUGCAGGAAGGUCAGGUCAUUGCCUAUGCAUCACGACAGUUGAGGCCUCACGAGACCAAUUAUCCUACUCAUGAUUUGGAGUUGGCAGCAGUUGUAUUUGCAUUAAAGAUCUGGAGGUCAUACUUGUAUGGAGAGAAGGUGAAGAUUUUCACGGACCACCAGAGUCUGAAGUACAUAUUUACGCAAACGGACUUGAAUUUGAGGCAGCGUAGAUGGAUGGAGUUGUUAGCAGACUACAAUUUGGAGAUCACAUAUCACCCGGGAAAAGCCAAUCAUGUGGCGGAUGCCUUGAGUAGGCGCAGAAGCGAUAUAUCGGGAACCAAAGAGGUCCAGGAGCUUACUGGGACACUUGCUAGUCUAAGAUUAUGUGCAGUUACUAUAGAGGGAGAGUCAGUUGGCGCUGAGGCUGUAGAGCGGGCAGACUUACUAUGGAGGAUACGCAAAGCUCAGGAUAGUGAUGAAGCUUUGCGUAAGCAGAUCGAGAUGGAGAGUAUUGGUUUUCAUACAGCCACCAACGGGAUGUUCAUGUAUCGAAACAGGAUUUGUGUGCCCAAUGAUGAGUUGUUAAGAAAGGAGAUAUUACGGCAAGCACACCACUCGAGUUUCUCGAUUCAUCCAGGAAAUACCAAGAUGUAUAGGGAUCUGAAGCGAUAUUACCAUUGGCCUGGUAUGAAGAGAGAUGUUGCUUCAACUGUAUCGCAAUGUCAGACGUGUCAGAUGGUUAAAGCCGAGCAUUAGGUUCCUAGCGGGUUAUUACAAAACCUGCCAUUACCUGAGUGGAAAUGGGACAUGGUAACUAUGGAUUUCGUGACGGGUUUACCGACUACAUCAGGAGGGAAGAAUGCCAUAUGGGUAAUCGUGGAUAGACUUACGAAGUCAGCCCAUUUUCUAGCAGUUAAGAAGACAGACAGAGCUGAUCAGCUAGCACAGACUUACAUCAGCGAGAUUGUAAGAUUGCAUGGAGUUCCGGUCAGCAUUGUAUCGGAUCGGGAUACAAAGUUCACGUCUGAGUUUUGGAGAGCCUUCCAAAAGGCGCUUGGGACGAAAGUUCAUAUGAGUACGGCUUAUCACCCGCAAACAGAUGGUCAGUCAGAGAGGACUAUUCAGACUUUGGAGGAUAUGCUCAGAGCUUGUGUUUUAGAUUGGGAAGGUAGUUGGGUGAAGUAUCUACCUCUAGCCGAGUUUGCCUACAACAACAGCUAUCAUUCGAGUAUUGGGAUGGCACCAUAUGAGGCUCUAUAUGGUAGGCCUUGUCGCACACCACUUUGUUGGACGGAAGUGGGAGAGCGACGUGAGAUAGGACCAGCCAUGGUUCAAGAGACAGUCGAACAGGUUGAGAUGCUCAAGAUGCGGCUUAAGGAAGCCCAUGACCGUCAGAAGAGUUAUGCAGAUAAACGGCGAAGAGAUUUGGAGUUUCAGGUUGGCGACCUGGUAUACCUAAAAAUGAGGACAUUUCAGGGAGGAUCUAAGACUCGGAAGCUAAAGAAGCUUAAACCGAGAUAUAUGGGACCAUAUCCUAUUUUGGAGCGGAUUGGAGCAGUUGCUUACCGACUAGAUUUAUCAGGAGAGUUAUCAGAUUUCCAUGACGUGUUUCAUGUUUCCGUUUUGAGGAAAGUAGUGAGAGAGCCAGAGCUCAUUUUGCAGCAACCACCUAGAAACCUUGGCAAAGGGUUACGUGGGUUGUGCCAACCAGUAGAGAUAUUGGAUCGCCAAGUGAAAGCAGAUCGUGGAAUGAUGACCAUGUUGAUCAAGGUUCGUUGGGAGGGAGACGGAAUUCAGGAGGAUACCUGGGAGUCCGAGCCCCAAAUGAGGAUUGAUUAUCCAGAGCUGUUUCGAGGUGUCAUUGGAGAAUUUGGUGACGUGAAUUCGGGGUCGAAUUCCUUGUUAGUGGGGGAGAAUUGUAAUGACCCACCUCCACUAUCCCCACUAUCUCCACCAUCUCCACCAUCCCCACCACACCCACCAUCUCCACCAUCCCCAACUUCUUUAAAGAGAAAGAGAGAGAGAUGGAGGGAGAGAGAGAGAGAGAAAGAGAGAGAGAAAGAGAGAGAAAGCUCACCUGAGCUCGUCGCCGGAGCAACCGUGUGCCGUGAUCACGUUCAGCUUGCCACCACCGAUAAACGCCCUAGGUAACCGUCGGAAACCGCAUUCCUUAAGCUCAUUUUCGUUUCCGUUUAGUAAAUCACCCAUAACUUCCUAACCAUUGAUCAUCUCGUACAUCCAAGGCCAUCAUCGUGUUCCUCUCGUCGAGACGAAGCCGUAGACACCAACCACGCCUCAAACGGAGCCCGGACGAAGCCGCACGCGCCUCCCGAAGAUUCGCCUCGGCGCGCGCGUGAAACUCACGCGCCACCGCCGUCCGCCGGAGCCACCGCGAGUUCCGGCCACGCGCCGCCGUCUCCGACCAACGUUCGCCGGAGCCGCCGUGACCGACCACCGUCCGACCGCCGCCGAGAAGCCGCCGCCGCGUCGCCGCCGUCGCUGCCGUUGAUUUUCCGGUAAGCCGCCGCCGUCGCCGCCGGCGACCGACACCGGUGACUCGCCGGUGACUCGCCAACUCGGCCGAGUCAACCCGGUGAGUCAACUCGGUGACUCGGUCAACCGGUGGUUUGACCGGUUUAAAUCGAUUUCGAUUCGGUUUGAUUAAACCGGUCGGUUAAAAUCAAUUGGAAAUCGGUUAGGGAAAACCGGAUUAAUUAAUUAAUUAAUUAAUUAAUUAAAUAAUUAAUUAAAUUAUUAAUCUUUGACCAGCAGGUUGACUUUCCCGUAAAUACCCGUUUUAAACCGUUCGAAAGGCGUUCUGACUCGAAAUUUCGAUCUGAUUUCAGAUUUGGAGUCCAUUUGAGCAGCUGGAGUUCAUAGAUACCACCUCUUAUUGUUGCUAAGGUGAGGGUCUAUUCCCGAACUCCUCUUAUUCGGCUUAGGACCUCGAAUAAGUAUAAUUUAUUUUUAAUGUGUUCCGUCUGUGUGAAAUCGAGUCUGUCAUUGCUUGUUUAGUUUUAGGUUCUUUGCAUAAACCGGAACUAGGGGGUUAGAGGAUUCAACAUUGAUUGUUUCACUUAAUGUAAAUUCUUAGCUAGGAUUGUUUUUGUUUGGAGACGGAUACAGAGUCGGACUGCUGUAUGCCGGAUUGUAUGGAGGUCACGGCCAACUUUAGUCGACCGGUUGAGCCGUAGACUGGAAGUGUCGAUAAAUCGUCUACGGGCGUGUGUUACCG